UGCAUUGAUCCCCUAAUUUUUGUAUUUUUAGUAGAGACGGGGUUUCACCAUGUUGGCCAGGCUGAUCUCGAACUCCUGACCUCAGGUGAUUCACCCACCUUGGCCUCCCAAAGUGCUAGGAUUACAGGCGUGAGCCACUGCGCCCGGCAUAAACUGGUAGUUUAAUGCAGAAUCUUAUUUUCACUCUUACCAAUAAAAUAGUUUUGCAUACAAAGUUAAGAGUGGACUCUAACAUUUGUGUCUUAACCUUCUAUAGAACUGUCAAGUAAUCCACCUCUGGCUACCAUCCUUAUUCCUCCUCAUGCUCGGAUUCAAGCAGCUGCUUCAACCCCCACAAAUGCCACAGCAGCGUCAGAUGCUAAUACUGGAGACCGUGGACAGACCAAUAAUGCUGCUUCUGCAUCAGCUUCCAACUCCACCUGAACAGUCCCGAGCAGCCAGCUGCACAGGAAAAACCACCAGUUACUUGAGUGUCACUCAGCAACACUGGUCACGUUUGGAAAGAAUAUUAAAAAGAG
Molecule: long non-coding RNA, 518 nt
Filed under: Homo sapiens (human)
Lineage: Eukaryota; Metazoa; Chordata; Mammalia; Primates; Hominidae
Description: non-protein coding lnc-COX17-2:4
Source: RNAcentral